RNAcentral lists this ribosomal RNA (223 nucleotides) under Strumigenys perparva. RNAcentral's name for it is "partial large subunit ribosomal RNA". Lineage: Eukaryota; Metazoa; Arthropoda; Insecta; Hymenoptera; Formicidae. The record is from RNAcentral.
GAAUUUAAUAUAAUGAUUUAUAAGAAUAAUUUUGUUUAAAAUAAUGAUAAAUAAUUAUAAUUUAGUUGGGAGGACUUUUAAAUUUAAAUAACUUUAAAUAAAAUAAAUAUAUAAAUUAAUAUAUAAAAAUAUUUAGAAUGAUUAUUAAAUUAAUUAAGAAUUAAUUACCUUAGGGAUAACAGCGUAAUAUUUUUAUAGAGAUCAUAUUGAUAAAAAUGAUUGC